Rattus norvegicus (Norway rat) is the source of this 19537-nucleotide long non-coding RNA. RefSeq lists it as uncharacterized. The record is from RefSeq and is a predicted model, not a curated record. NCBI's taxonomy places the organism in Eukaryota, Metazoa, Chordata, Mammalia, Rodentia, Muridae.
GGGGGGCUGGGGGGUGCAGCAUUCUGCUCACCACGUCACAAAGCAGUGUGGAAAUAGUUUCCCUCCAGAGGGAGAGGUCAUAGGUUCUUUUUCCCUUCAGAAUGAGAGAAUUAAUGUCAGGACAAGUUCCAGAAUAGCUUGGGCCCUAGCUGUAGAGUUUUUCUUGGCCCACGUUAGAACAGUGGUCAAGGACACAUGGGCAUCCAACAGGUCCUGUCACCAGGACACCGUGACCCUGGCCCAUUCAUGGAAUGUUCCAGAAUAGUAUUGUCCAGCCAGCAGAACCUUAUACAUUUCUGGAGUGAUAACCACUAGCCUUGAGUGUCGCUUUCAGGUUUUGAAAUCGUCGCUACGCAGCUGGUGAGCCAAAAGGGCUUGAUUUUUUUAAAAUUCUAUUUGAGUUUAAUUAAAUUUCAAUGUAAUCAGAUCUAAGCGGCUCGUGGGGGCUCUAUUGGAUAGCAGAGCUCUGGAGUUUUCUUGAUUUGACAUUCUCUCCUUGUCUGGUCUUCAUUUUAUUAUUGAAAAUAGAUUUCGUCAUAAAGAGCUAAAAUGACUCUUCAGCUCUUUAUGUGCGUAAUGUUUAGAGUUUUAACUUUUGGCUGGGAGACAGAGGCCAGAUGGCAUUGGCUAGCUUUAGGCCCAGCACGAGGGAGAACAGCGUCCCCUCCGGGUGACGAGAGGAAAGACGCUUUCCUUUUGAGGCCUUGGCCUCCUCUGAUAUUGCCUGAGUUAAUCCGGAGGAUGCUGGGUGGGGCAGGGUGAAUCUGGAGUCCUGGCAGCGAGAUGGUCGCCUGGCAAACUUCUUCAUGAAAAGGCGUUAGCAAGAGUUAGUCUACACCUGAGCCUGCUCUAUAUGAUUGGGGUUCUUCCCCUGAGGCUCCCACAACUCCUUGAGAUUUGCAGGUGAAAUCUACAUAUUGCCAAGCCCUCUUCCCCACACAACUCCUUGUCUCUGCUUCCACAGACGGGGGUAACUGUCUUGUUUUAGAAUACCAUGUUUCUUUUUGCUACCGUCGAGAUGCCACCUUAAGCAAGCCUCCAUUUAUUUCUGAAUGAAACAAACAAGUCGCUGAAUAAAGUGGCGGGUGCUGGAAUAGCUGUUUGGGAUUCAAGCCUCAGCUGCCCUCGUUUCUUUCUCGGCUGACUCCCCCAGCGCAUUCACAGCAGCUCCCGAAGCGUCAGAGUGUCCGCUCGCCUAUCUGUGCUUAUGCUCAACAGCCUGGAGUCUUGGUCAGGAACAGAGCAGGGUCCGUUCCCGACUUUCUACCUACCCAGACAAGCGGCUCAGCCCUACUCUGGAGGGACUGGUGUGGGAGGGCAGGCUGCCGCCCAGGGUCAGGGAAGAGUGUGCCGCUUGCAUGUAAGACACAAAUAAGGGAUUUAGAAGCAUGAAGCUGGUAGGCGUUGCUAGGCAACGGUUUCACGGGGCCUGGAGGUAACACAAUCUGGGGAGCAGUCUGGUAGCCAAGCCUCUUAAGGACAAACUGGACCUUCACCACCGGAAGUGAACGGGGCAGGAAAGGGCCUCAGAGCGUUCCACCACCACGGCUGUGGGAAAGACCCGCUCCCGCGGCUCCCUCAUAGGUCAUGCUCUCCGCGUCGCACAAGAUGGGAUCAGAAGUGGUCCGAGAAAUAUGCACGCUGUAGUGGGACAGGCACUGAAGAAGGAAACACCGGGGUUACCCAGCAGAACUCUUGGAUGAAUAUCAAUGUUUUGAUCCCCCUUUAAAGAAAGUAACCACAGCUAUCCCAGGGAUGAAUUCCAACAUAGCCCGUGGCGGCCAUCGGAGCGGGAGCUGAUCAGACCGUUGGUUAUCUUCCCACACAUCUGCCUGAGAUAGAGACUUGUAAGCAAAUGAACAGUUCGUGGCAACCAAGAAGCGACUCAAACCUGUAUUUUCAACGUCUCUGUUAACAUGGGAAGAUACAAGUUUUGCCUUGUAGGCUGAUGGUACUUUCAAACUUGAUGGCGUGUUUCAUCAGAAAGAGACCAGCACAGUCAUACAAAGAGGUUGGGCUACCAUCGCUCGUGGUGUGGAAGGAAAGGCUACUAGACUAAAGAUGAAAAGCCAAGUGCAGGUCUCUACUUGGGCUGACAGCAUCUACAAUGGCCUUUGUGUACCUCAGCACUGACCCAUAGAUGGUCACCAACAGGACCUGGGUAGAGGGACAAAGCCACCAUGGAGUACAUCCCCACUACAUCACGAGUCUGAAGCAGGCGUAACAUGAACAGUGGGCUCAGGCCCAUUGGCAUCUUCAUGUUCAUGGAUGGCAUCCCCAGAAACAGAUCCUCAGGGACAUACUGUGGCUGCAAAUGCCACAGUGUGACUGCAAAGCCUGCUCGUGACUUUCUGAGGAACUGUGUUAACGAAGUCACAGUGGGUGAUCUGAUCAAUGUGAACAAGUCACACCUAAGGGCCUGCUCAGGUGACAAACACGUUGAUCUUGUCACGGGGUGAGAUCAGUCUCUCAAGAUUUUAAAUAAUGGGGAAAUUGAGAAAUAGGUUGUUCAAGUUGAAAAAGAAAAGGAAGAAUCAAAGACCAUUGUGAUGAGGUAAAACUUGGGUUGAAGCAGCUUUUAAGCUGCACCACAGUGAGUCUCAGUGGCAUGCUGGUCUCCCUCCAGCCAUGCAACCACCCUCAAAGUACCCAACAAACAGCUGUAAUUUUUAACCUUUAAAAACGACUUCCGUGAUUGGUCUCAAAUCGUGACAACUCAGCAGUCAAUGUGAUAAAAUCUAGAAUGAUGUGGGAGAUGAGCUGCUGGGCAUUGCAAAGAUUUUGGUUAGAUUAACUGUCCAGGGAAGACCUCCCACUGUGGGUAGCACCAUUCCCUGGGCUGGGAUCUAGUCAGCUGAACUUAAGCAUUCGUUGUUUUCUGCUUUCUGCUUGUGAAUGCAAGUGACCAGCCAGUUCAGGCUCUGACCACCCAAAUUCAGGUUCCCCUCACCCCCAAAGCCAAGAUGAAUGACCCUUGAGCUAUGAACCAAUACAUGCCCUUCCUUUCUUAAAAUUGCUUUUAUCACAGCAACAAGUCACACUUCUCCUUUCUCUCAGCGAUUUUAUGUUGGGCUUUAUUUGAAAAAUAGAAGUUAUUCUUUAUACCUAAAGAGCCUAAAAGUUCAAAAAGUGAUCUCUCUCUCUCUCUCUCUCUCUCUCUCUCUCUCUCUCUCUCUCUCUCUCUCUCUGUGUGUGUGUGUGUGUGUGUGUCUUUGUCUCUCUCCUCUCUCUGUCUCUGUCUUUCUGUCUCUGUCUCUCUCUGUCUCUCUCUGUCUCUCUCUCUCUCUCUCUCACACACACACACACACACACACACACACACACACACACACACACACACACUCACAUUGCACAUCUGCCUUUUUCCCCUUCUGGCUUCCCAGAGGUAUCUAUUUUAGUAAUUCAGCCUUUUAAAUACCGCCCCCACAACCUGUAUUCAUAACACACAUGUGCCUCUAUUUGAGCUUCUUGCCUUCACACUGUCUGUUGACGUCUCACUAGGGAAGACAGAGUUAGAAUUAGCUGCUGCUCUUCUCCGCCUGUCAACACCUGCUUCCCAUGUCAUUCCCAGACCCUCCAGCAUUCAUCUAUCGGGUCAGCCUGAAGGUCUGCAGUUACAUUGUGUUGAUCUUCCAAACCCUUCCCAGUGGAGCUAUAGUGAUGUCCUUUCCUGACCCAUAGUUCCUCCCAGGAGGUAGACUUUUUUUCAUCACUGUUUAGAUUAUUUAUGUCUGUCACUAAUUCAACACCAAACACUCAGGAGAAUCAAAUUCACUCCAAGAUUAUAUUUUACAGGUUUUGUUCUACCAAUUCCUAGGAGGAAGGCCUCUCUCCUAAGACCUUCUCAAUCUAGCUCAUGUUCUUAGAUCCCUCCUCAGCUGUCUGGAAAUUGAGAUCUCUUCACAUUCUGGUGGCUGGGAGUCCAGGACGGAGGCUCCAGUGUGAGUGGUCUGAGGUGAGGCCUCUCUUGCUGCUUUGGAGACACCACAUUCUGUCACUGUGUCCCACUAUGACCUUGCUCCGUGCCCACGUAGACAGAUCCCUCACUUCUGUGGUUACUUUGUCCUAUAAGGAGAUAAACUUUAUCUCAGAGGGCCGCUUCUUCAUAGCAUCCUUUCAUCUUGACCACCCCUUUGAAGGCCCUAUCUCCAUCUAUAAUCCUAUUCAGGGUUAGCUCUUUGAUAUAUUGUGGGAAGGAACAUAACACGGUUAAUUCCACAACAGUAUGCUAUGUUACUCAUAGUCUUUCUGAUCCCAAAUCUUUUUUUCUGAUUCUCCAGAACCUACUCUCCGUGCCUUAGGGAGGAGGGUGGUGGCAGUCUUCAGCAGUCUACGACAACCCUCUUCCUUGUAGAUGCACACAGCAGAGAGGUUGCAGGUGCUGACCCCUGAUUUGUUAGCUUCCAUCACUGUUGGUUUGGGACUUAGUUUUACAGAUCUGUUUUGUCUGUUACCAAUUGUCCAGCUUCUAGUGUUGUUGCCGUUGAAUUCUCUAUGUCCCCGGGGACUGCGGGUGGGCAGUGGCUUUGGAUAGAAAGGAGUUGUCUGUAUGUUUGCUCAUUCCCUGUCUUCCUGGAGGCUGGUAGCCCCUUCCCUGAGACCCAUCACUCCCUUUAGCUUGGUGUUCCACAGAAUGCCCCACCCCCAAGGGAUGUGUACAGUGCUGAUGCUCUGAGGCUUGGUCUCUGGGGACAGCGGUCUGCUCCCAUUAGACCACAAGAUGGGCAGCUCACCCAGUAUCCAUCACAAGGACACUUCGUGAACUCCAACAAUGGUUUGUGCUUAGACGUGAGCAAAGAACCACCUCCUUUUCUGAGCACAAUUUCCCUACAUUUAGAAACCUGAUCUAUUGUCAGUGGCAUGGAAUGUAUAUGUGCUAGUCUUCCUCUGUUGCUUUGGGACUUUGCUCUGUGGAGUACUGCUGACAUCCACUUUUGUUAGCUUUUCUCCUGCAGAAGUCUUUUCCUUAAGAUCUUAUUUAGAAGUACUCUUUUUAAACACAAAGUUGAACUGACCCUCCACUAGCCUGAAUUUCAUUUGAAACUUGGAUGUUCGAGUAUUCUAAUGAAGGCAGACUUAUAUUGUCUAAGAUCUUGUGGACUCUGUCAGUGCUUCCCAGCUAAGCAAAUCUGCACGCACAAUCCUCUCUGUGCAGUAUUUUACCUCAUGGCUUUUUUUCUUAAACCAAAAAGAAAGAAGGCAUUUUGUAAGUACCUGCAGCUUAGCAGGUAGUGUUCUAUUUAGAAUUAGGAAUAAGUGAUAUUUCCUCUAUACCAAGUUCUCAUAAAAACAUCCAGGACAUAGAGGCCGAUGUAGAUAUAAGUAGCACAUAGAAGAAAGCAGCUUAGGACAGAGGCAGGAGGUCAUCUUAUUGAAAACCACCUCUCAGAGGAAAAGGUUGUUAAUGACUUGGCACAGGGCACUCAGCCAUGUUUUGAUGCAGAUAUUGCAAUGCGGCCAAUGGCAUACCCAGAAGGAGUAUGUAGGAGAAGACUAACAAUGUCACCUUAGAGAAGAUGUCCUAGAAGGGACAACUAUUUCAAAUCUUACUCAGACUACACUUCAGCCCACAUCGUGUCAGCUCUUCUCUGACACAGUUCCAGCUGCUUCUUUGCACCCGUGCUCCCACCUUGUCUCCACGAGGCGGCCAGCAUGAGGGCUUUUUACUUUCAAAUUUUAGGUCAAGUUUAUCAACAUGUAUACUCUUUAAGUGUGAAACUUGGUGAAUCUUGAGGAAAACAUACACCCAGUACUAACCCCACCACCAAACACAAGCAGGUCAUUGACCACCGGAAGUUGCCUCGGUCACCAGAAGUUACCUCGGCCACUGGAAGUUGCCUCGGUCACCAGAAGUUACCUUGGCCACCGGAAGUUGCCUCAUCCACUGGAAGUUACCUCGGCCACCGGAAGUUGCCUCAUCCACUGGAAGUUACCUCGGCCACCGGAAGUUGCCUCAUCCACUGGAAGUUACCUCGGCCACCGGAAGUUGCCUCAUCCACUGGAAGUUACCUCGGCCACCGGAAGUUGCCUCAUCCACUGGAAGUUACCUUGUCCACCAGAAGUUGCCUUGAGCUUUUUCCCUCACAUGCAGGCAGCCAGCAACUAUUUUUACUUCUGCCAUUGUGAGCCUUCAGUUGCAUUUCUCUUGUAUCUACACAAGUCAUUUCAGCACUAUUAAAAGUGUCCUAUUAGUGUUCCCUUUAAAAUAAGGCUUUGUUCUACCAAAUGCGUUGGUUCGUCUCCUUUACCAAAACUUGUCCGUGUGAGUGUACUUCUGGAUCCUGCAUUCUGGUCUGCUCCUGUGUUCGAUGGUCUUCACAGCAGUGCUGAACCAUCCUGGUUAGUAGAGCUUUAAAAUCUUCAAACCAGGUAGUACCAUUCUCUAAACGUGUUAGCAGUGUUGCAUCUUUAGUACAGUAAUAAAUACUUAGGGUAGACCACGUGAUAGCUUGAUAUGUUUAUUCAUGGUAAAGAGUUAUUAUAAGCCAGAAAGGUACCAAGUUUCACAUGACAUUAUGUCCUUGUUUUGAAUGAAAAGGAAGUGGGGUCAUGCAUGGGGCUCGCCUUACUUCAGCUCCUACAAUGUCCUCCAGAUCUAACUUGGUGGACGUUUCAUGGGCUCACGGAGCUCCAAGGCGGAUGUCGUGUGUUGUCUGGCCCUGCCCUUUACCUUAUCUUUUGAGAUAGGGUCUGCCGUUGAAAACUGGAGCUUGGGCUUGGGGAUUUAGCUCAGCGGUAGAGCGCUUGCCUAGCAAGCGCAAGGCCCUGGGUUCGGUCCCCAGCUCCGAAAAAAAAAAAAAAAAGAAAACAAAACAAAACUGGAGCUUACUGGUUUGCCAUGCUCGCUGGCCAGUGAGUCCCCAGGGUUCCUCCUGUCCCCAUCUUUCAAUGCUGGUAUUACAGGCACGUGUUGUCACAGCUGGCCCUUUUACAUGGGUGUGGCCAAGUUCUGGUCAUUGUGCUUACAUGAUAAGCACCAUGCCCAUUGAGCCAUCCCCCUAGCCCUGGAGUCUCCUCUUAAAGGUGGAAUAAUCCUUUCUCUUCUCUUCUCUUCUCUUCUCUUCUCUUCUCUUCUCUUCUCUUCCUUCCCUUCCCUUCCCUUCCCUUCCCUUCCCUUCCCUUCCCUUCCCUUCUCUUCCUUCUUCUUCUUCUUCUUCUUCUUCUUCUUCUUCUUCUUCUUCUUCUUCUUCUUCUUCUUCUUCUUCUUCUUCUUCUUCUUUUCUUCUUCUUCUUCUUCUUCUUCCUUCUUCUCUCUCUCUCUCUCUCUCUCUCUCUCUCUCUCUCACACACACACACACACAUCACAGAUGACAUCACAGUCUCAUUAUCCAGUCAUUUAUUGAUAGAUAUUUAGCUUUUUUUCCAUUCCCUGCUUAUUGUAAUAUUGCAGUAAACACAGGAUGGUUAAUUUCAUUCCUGCACCACCAUUACUGCCCUUAAGAACCUCUCCCAGUGUUCCCUAUAGCAGCCGUUCCAAUGCUUGUCCCCACCAAGAGUAGAUGAGGGUUCCUUUCCCUCUGAGCCUCUGCCAACACUACUUACUACCCCUCUGCUAUGAGAGCCUCCCUAUCCAACAUAAGGUGUCAUCUCCUCAUGGCUCUGAUUUCUCAUCUUCAUGAUGAUUAGUGAUGCUGAACUUUUUACUUGGGUCUUCGGUGUGUGUGUGUGUUUUAUCUGAAGAGUCUGCUUUGAUUCUUUCACAUGUGGGCCCCCCUCUCCCCAUCACCCCUUAUGGAGAAGAAAAGACAUCCCAUACUGUGCCUUUUGGGUAUCACCAGUUUGGGUGUCAAAAAUUAGUUUGGGUUAUCUCUGGAGUCUGGUGUCCUGCCAUCUGUGGCUGGAUUGUGUCAGCCAUGCGUGCUGUUGAUGGCUGGGCCGAAGAUUGCCAUCUCUUUAGUACACCUUGAAACCAGAAUAUGUGGGGCCUCCAAUGUUGUUUUUGUUUCUCAAUAUUGUUUUGGCUGCUCGCGGCCUUUUAUGGUCCAGAAUUUUUGUUGCUAUUCCUAUGAAGAAAUAUCAAAGUAAGUUUGGAAGGUACCCCUGUGAAUGUAUAUGUUGCUUUUGGCAGUGUGGAUAUUUAAACAACGUUGUAACAUAUGAGCAUAGGGUUUCUUUCUUUCUACAAAGGCAUUCUUUAGUUUCUUCUAUCAGAAAUGCACAGUUCCCAGUGUGUAGCUCUUUGGCUUUCAUGGCUACCUUUAUUGUUCUACUUGGUUUUGAAGCUUUAGAAAGUAGACGGCCUCCCCCAACUCCUUCCCCUGUGCUAUCCUGUUUCCUUUAGGUAGUUCUGAUGAACAGAGAUGGAACUUACUUGAAGAUUUUGAUUUCCUAGAACACAGAGCCUUGCUGAAUUCACUUAUUCUCAUACUUUUGUGCAUCUUUGGGGUCUUGGUGUCUAUAAAUAGGGACAAUUUUGUUUCUUCCUUCCCCAUCGACAUGCCUUCCAGUUCUUUCUUUUUUUUUUUCAUCCGAUUGCUCCCAAUAGCACAUUCAUGAUACAGUGGACAGAAGAGGCGUGGGCAGCUUUCUUGUCAUGUGCUUGCCCUCGGAGUUCAAGUGGUCUUCUCCACUGACCCUGGUGCUAGCCUCCGGCUCUGUCGUGAACAGCUUUUUUUAUGGAGAGGAAGUUUCCUCCCAUAUCUAGAUUAGAGAAAACUCCAGAAGAAGGACAAAGUGCUUCUUCUGCAUCAAGUGAGUGGCCAGGUGCGUCUUGGGUUGUAUUCCUUAGUGCAACGCAUCGCAUCUGUUGGCUUGCAUGCGUGAAUCAAGUCUGCAUGCCAGGGGCCACUGCACUUGGUUAUUUUGAACCCUCUUUCUGCUGUGUUAGUGCAUGUGCUUUGUUUGCAUUUGUUAAGCAUGCUGUGUGUCCGUGUUCACCACGGAGACCGACCUGUACUUCUCUUUUCCUGUGAUGUUUCUGUCUGGCUUUGGUAUCAAAGUGAUAGUGGCCUCCUCAUUUUUUAAACAUUUAUAAAAAAAAUUUUUAUAUGGGUAAGUUUUGCCUACAUGUAUGUCUGCACACCACAUACAUGCAGUACCUAGAGAGGCCAGAAGAGGCCAUUGGAUUCCCCAGAACUGAAACUGGAUGGAAUGUUUACUGUGUGUGUUUGUGAACAUGUAUGGAAUGCCUAAUGUGUGUGCCUGUGAACAUGGAUGGAUAUGUGUUAUGUGUGUUUGUGGACAUGGAUGGAAUAUGUACUGUGUGUGUUUGGGAACAUGGAUGGAAUACCUAAUAUGUGUUUGAACAUGGAUGGAUAUGUACUGUGUGUUUGAACAUGGAUGGAAUACCCAAUGUGCAUUUGAACAUGGAUGGAAUAUGUACUGUGUGUUUGUGAACAUGGAUGGAAUAUGUACUGUGUGUUUAUGAACAUGGAUGGAAUAUGUACUGUGUGUGUUCGUGAACAUGGAUGGAAUAUGUACUGUGUGUUUGUGAACAUGGAUGGAAUAUGUACUGUGUGUGUUUGAACAUGGAUGGAUAUGUACUUUGUGUGCUUAUGAACAUGGAUGGAAUACCUACUGUGUGUUUGAACAUGGAUGGAAAUGUACUGUGUGUGUUUGUGAACAUGGAUGGAAAUGUACUGUGUGUGUUUGUGAACAUGGAUGGAAUAUGUACUGUGUGUGUUUGUGAACAUGGAUGGAUAUGUACUGUGUGUGUUUGUGAACAUGGAUGGAUAUGUACUGUGUGUAUUUGUGAACAUGGAUGGAUAUGUACUGUGUGUGUUUGUGAACAUGGACGCAUUGCCUAUUUGGUCUUUAUACUUGUUUCUGGACUGCUCACAUCCUUUGAAUGUUCAGAGAGUAAAAUCAGUUCGCCAGUUUGCACAAAAGAGCUUGCUAGUGUUGUCAUUGUCAUUGGGUCGGUUUGAAGGGAAUAGCGUCUUAGGGUUUUAUUGCUGUGAAGAAACACCUUGACCAAGGCAACUCUUAUAAAGGACAGCAUUUAACUGGGGCUGGCUUACAGGUCCAGAGGUUCAGUCCAUUGUCACCAUGGUGAGAAGCAUGGCAGCGUCCAGGCAGACAGUGUUGGAGAAGGUGCUGGGAGUUCCACAUCUUGAUUCACAAGCAGCAGAAAGAGACUGCGUGCCACACUGGUGUAACGUACACAUAGAGACCUCAAAGCACCCCCCCCCCCAGGACACACUUCCUCCAAAAAGGCCACACCUCCUGAUAACGACACUCCCUGGGGGCCAAGCACUCAAACAGGAGUCUAUGGCCUUUUGCAUUCACACCACUGCACCCAGGUCUUACAGUACAUUUACACGGUAGAGCUCUCUGCCUGCCUAAGGCUUCUUUAGUCUCUGACACCAUUAUGGUCUAAUCUUCUGUUUAGAGGCCUUCCACCAUCUUUUGCUAGGUAUUUUGGGUUUUAUGUUGCUGUAAAUUGUAUUUUUCUGUCCCACUCAGUGUUUACUGUGGUAAAUACACAGAACAUAAAGUGCCCUGUUUUAAGGGUCAUCUUUAGUUGCUCGAUAUCAGGACAUAGCAGUGUAACAGAUUUUUGCGUUUUGUUUUUAUUCUGCGAUGGAAAGUCUCCCUUCUUAGUACUAGGAGUAGAGAGUGGUUUUGGGGGGUGCAUUCGUUAGAAUUUGCCACAUACACAGUUGCAUCCUCAGAGCAGACACACAGUUCACAUUCUGCUUGCUGGCCUUCGUGUCUUAUUGUUUGCGGCACUGUGAGGUCCCUCCAAACUGGAGCUGGUGAGGGUUUACAUUUUUUAUUGUUCUCUGCCUCAGAGAGAAAGGCUUUCACUUGUCAGCUAUUAAACCUAACAUCAGUGCCACGAACCGUGGUUUUUCUGCGUGUGCCCGUGGUGGUAGCAGUCAGUAAGGUAGUUCACGAAGAUCUAACUUGCUGUCUUUCAUGCUUCCGUGUGAGCCCUUUCCUUCCCUACCCGUGAUGGACUUCCUAUCCUGCCUCAGUGAAUGGAAUACAGCGAAGGCGAUGGGGUAUCAAUAUCAAAUCAAAACUCAAUCUACCAAAACAUCGGGACUUCUACGGUGGGACGUGGUCUCUCCUGCUGGCUUGCUACAUAGGAAGCCAGACUCUGCAUUGUGAGCCGGCCACACUGCAAAAACGGGACCGGGCUCCCGUGGACAGUCCAUGGACCAGAGAGAUCCUGAGCUCAGUGGCUUACAAGGAACUAAACCCAGCUGGCGACAUGGAGAGAAGGGCAGUCAUUGCUACUUUACUCUUCAGAGGAGAUGGAUAGCAACGUCCGCUCACCGCUACCAUGACGUCUGAGCCUCCGCCACCAUGGAAGCCACACCCAGAUUCCUGACUGGAAACUGUGACAAUAUUGGCUUGUUUCUUUUCUUUCCAAGUGUGUUGUAUAGUUUGUUUCUUUUUUUUCCAUGUCAACUGGCAUUGAAUCCUGUCAAUAUGAAUCCAGUAAGAUGAUUACACAGUUGCUAGCGUGUAUUCUGUUGAUACUGUAAAUUAUGUAGAUAUUCAUGUAAACCUCACAUGGCCUUAAUAGCCUUUUUUUUUAUAUAGCAUUGUGCUCCAUUUGCUAAUGCUUUAAAGCACUUUUACAUGUGUUUUUAUGGCAAAUACUGGUAUACGGUUUUCAUUUUAUUAUUCAGAUAGAGUUCAUAUACCAUAAAUUUUACCACUUUCAAAAUCAUGUACAAAUCCAUGGCUUUCAGUGCAUUUGUAAUUAGUAAUUAGUGCAUGUGUAAUUAGUGCACAGCUAUCUGAUGCUAGAGCCUUUCUCUCUGGCCCCAAAGAAGCUUCAGACCUAUGAGCAGUCACUCCCCGCUGCUCUCUUGUGGAGCCUCUGGGAACCACUAAGCGACUCCCUUCCCCUGCGGAUUCUUAUUCUGAACAUGCCCAUGCCAUGUGAACGGAGUCCCAAGUUAUGACUCACUCUGCAUCUAGUUUCUUUUAUUUAGCAUACUCUUUUAUGGUCAUGGGAUAAAAUGCAUAUAACAGUCCCUUGUUCCUUUUUAUGGCUGUGUACUAUUCCGCAGUACAGAUAAGCUACAUUUUGCUUAUGGAGUCAUAGCUAUACACGUUUAUAUGGUUCCCUACCUCUUUUUUUUUUGCUACCAUGAAUAUUCAUGAGCAAAUCACGAGUGUAUUUUUAUUUUUCCUAGGCUGUACCUAGGAGUAGAAUUUUGGGUUAUAUGGUAAUUUUGUGUUUAAGUUUCUUAGCAUCUUCUGAAUUGUUCACACAGGGGCUCCACUCACAUUCCACCAGUAAUAUAUGCAGGUUCCACUGUGCCUACAUCCUCCUCAGACGCCUCGUGUCUGCCUUUUAUCACUGUGUUCAUCUCAGUGGGACUAAGAAGCUCCCUGGGGCUUGUGGUUGCUUUUCUCUGUAGCUAAUUGUAGCUAACAUCUUCUCAUAUUUGUGUGUUGGCCAUAGGUCAGUCUUCUCUGGAGAUGUUUAUUUAGAUCUUUUGCUUUUAAAAAUCGGGUUAUUUAUUAUUUUAUUAUUGAGUGGCCAUAGCUCCUUGUGUGUUCUAAACAUGUCCCUCUUCAGACAAAUGAUUUGCAAACUUGGUCCCCAAAUCUGUGAUUUAUCCCUUCAGUUCCUUGAUAAUAUUCUUUGAAGUAUGAGUUAAACAUUUUGGCGGUGACCAGUUUAUUCGUGUGUGUGUGUGUGUGUGUGUGUGUGUGUGUGUGUGUGUGUGUGUGUGUGUCUACUAGAGUUAUAUUGAAAAAAAAAAAAAGAAACUAUUACCCAGUCAAAGGUCAUAGAGAUGUGUGUUUCAAGUUUCUUUCAAGGGCUGUACUGUUUUUAGACUUACACUUAGAUCUCGGACCCAUUUCAAGUUUGGCGCACACUGUGAGGAAGGCAAUUCAGAUUUAUUAUCUUGUGUGUUGUGGGGGGCUUGUUCUGGUGCUGCUUGUACUCAGACACUAAAUUCUGUACCCAGAGAUCCGCUGGCCCCGAGAUGAACAAAUCCUCAUGUACUCCAGCUUUGGUGAUGUAAACCUUGCCCCGCCCCCAAAUUAGUCUCUGAUUGGUUAAUAAUAAGAUGCCUACAGCCUGUACAGCCUGUAACUGGGCAGAAGAGAGGUAGGCGGGGCUUUGAGUCCGGGCUUGGGGUCUCUGGCAGGGACCAUGUGAAGCCGGAAGAGGAAGGAAGAAGCCGCCAUAGGGUAGGCGGGUCGUGAAUGCAUGGCUAUGAGGGGCCUGCCUGUUAGAGUAGGAGAGGCCCAGGCAGAACACAGCAAGUGACAUCUUGGGAUUUUUGACAGGGAAGUAGACAAAAGACUAUAGAGGGUUGAUAUCAGCUCAGCGCCUGUGAUUUUAUGCUUGUUAUCAAUAUAAAGUGUUUUGGUUUUUAUUAUUAAUACAAAAGCAGUGAGUUGCCUCUAUGCCCGUGUUACCAACUGGUGAUGGCAUCAAUUUUCUGUCACUGUAGUCAGUACCCAAGGACAAGCUUGUUUCAGCAGACAAGAGGCCCCAGGGCAUCACACUGUCAUUGUCUUAUCUCUGGUCAGGGCCCCUCUUUACCGCAUUACCUCAUGGCAGCAGCCUAUGUGAGAGAAAUAGGUCACAGCUCAAAACUGGAUGCCAGAGGGACACUCUGAGUCUUACAGUCUCUUCCUAGCUCCUCUUCCCCAAGUGACCCAGGGGUUUCCCUGUGGGUGCUACCUCUUAAAAGCCCUUCGCUGUCUAUGUUGUCUCUGGGAACCAAUCUUCCAACACGUGAACCUUUGGGACACACAUUUAAAUAUGUCCGAAACCUCCUGCCCAAGAUUCAUGCCCAUCUCUCAAUACAAAACAUAUCCCAUCCCCACAGUCAAAAGCCUUAACCAUUCCAGUAUUCAUCAAGAAUCCAACCCAGGGCUGGGGCAGAUAGCUCAGGCAGUGCUGUGUUUGUCACACAAGCAUGAAGAUCUGAGUUUGAUCCGAGUAGAAAGCUAAAUUCGAUAGCAAGUGCUUGUUACCGUAGCAGGGUUUCACUGACCAGCCAGUCUUGUCUGUAGCUGUAACUCCAACUCCAGAGGAUGCAGUGCCCUCUUCUGGCCACUGCUGGUACUGCAUUCAUGUACACACACACACACACACACACACACACACACACACACACAAUUAAAAUGAGCAACUUAGACUUAUAAGAACUUUCUAGAGUUGGCACUGAGACGCUGUCUCUCUUUCUUUCAUCCCCCAUAGUACCAUUCUAAGAGCUAUGACCCUCACCCCAACACCAUGAACUUAACAGCAUCCUUUAUUCUGUCCCCACAGGCUUUCUCCCACUCAUUGUGGGAAAGUCAGUGGACAAUUUUGCUAUUCUUAGUCCCCUCCUAUCUACCUUAAUUCCUUACUUGGCUUUUGUGAACUUGACACAUUAGAAGGGUUAUUCUGUGCCUGUUUUCUCAUAAUUAGAUCAAGAUUGAACUUUGUGGGGGGCACAGAUUCCCUCUUUGUGCUGGGCCUUCUCACCCAUCCACCCGUUAGUCUCAUUACUUGUAGCAUUUAACAGGUAUGGACCACUCCCGUGGUCUUGACAGCUUUCUCUACUAAAAGUUUCCAUUGGAAAUUAAUAAAUGCCUUGGAGGAGCCAUUUUGAGAUUGCAAAGCCCACUGUUUCUAAGCAUUUCUCUAGUCUGGGUUUUGUGGAGGUUGUCUGCAGAGGUUGUCCACAGUGGUCACCGUCGGGCCAGCAUCGGGUUAUAUUUACCUUGUUCCUUUAUAUUGGAGCAAUUGCAAUUAUUCUGUAAGGAAGAGCCAUCUCUCUACCUCACUCACCCAUGUAUUCGUUUUAUUAUGUCAGUAUUGACCCACGUAUAUUUAUUGUAUAGAUUGUCAUUGUGUGGUUUGGUGUUCAAAUUGUAUCUGCUUGGCCAAUGGGAAGUCUUUGGAGGUUGGUUUUUGUGACCCUGCGACCCUUAUAUAGAUCUAUCUUUUGGGGUUGAGGGUGUUGGGAAUGAUACUGAUUGGUCAGUUUUGUCAACUCGACACAAGCUAGAGUCAUCUGGGAAGAAGGAACCUUGAUUGAGAAGACGCCUCCAUCAGACCGCCUGUAGGAAAGUCUGCUAUGACUGAUGAUUGAUGUGGGAGGCCCCGCCCACGGGGGGGCGGUGCCAAUCCUGGGCAGGCGGUCCUGGGUGGUAUAAGAAAUCAGGAUGAGGGCUGGAGAGAUGGCUCAGCGGUUAAGAGCACUGACUGCUCUUCCAGAGAUCCUGAGUUCAAUUCCCAGCAACCACAUGGUGGCUCACAACCAUCUGUAAUGAGAUCCAGCGCCCUCUUCUGGUGUGCAUGCAGGCAGAACACUGUAUACAUAAUAAAUAAUUUUUAAAACUCUGACUUUGUUCUUGUGGCCGUCAUAGUUUUCUCUGACUUUCCUCUGCUGUACCCACCUUUGAGUUGUGCAUGGCUCUGUAAGUAACCCCUCUUUCUUGCUACCUAAGUCACCCCAGGAAACCCUGGGGGUAAACUCGACUAAAUUUAGGUAGAGCCAAGGACUCCUGAGCCCUUUCCGGAGUGCACAGAUGUUUGACUGUGUCUCUUCCAGAAAAGCCACACAAGGAGAUUAGAGAAAAGGGAUAAGGGGGAGAAGGGACAGAAAGAGGAAGAAGAUGGCGGUGCUAACAUUUCUGGCAGCAAAUUACUUAUGUAUCCCUUGGUGUGCCUGAAGCCGUUUGCAUACCGUGUCUCGGUAACAGAUGGCCAGGAUGAAUGUUGCUAUCCUAAUUGUGUUUCAGAGAAGCCCAGCGUCAGGUGGCUGUGGCUGGGGAAGGUCUAGGUCUACGUCUGGUGUUCUCACUAUUCUCUUUGGACUCUGCCCUGAGGAUGGGCAAGAUCAGGGCCCCAUUAGUGGUGUGAGUUCAGUCAUCUCUCAGAGCACUGUGUGAGCAAAGUACCAUCCAGGAAGCUACUCAGCCAUCUUCCCUCCGUGCCGUAUCAUCUCAUUUUGUUUGGAGGCAGUAAAAGGCCCAGUGGCACACGACUUCUCAGGCAGUGACAUCACUUCACACGGUCUAUGGAUUAGUACACUGACAAGUGUCUGGGAAGGUUUCUGCUGGGCCCUUUGCAUCCAGAGGCCCGACACAGGAUGAGUUGGCAGUUUUGAUGCUGGGAUGUUUCUGCCCAGUCUGACAGUGUGCGGAAGUUGCUAAGAUAUGCCCUGCAGUAGUAUGUUUUGAAGGGGGAGGCCUUAUGUGCGUAACUCCGUUCUAAUGGGUUGUUCUAAUUGUCUAGUUAAUUGCCUCAUUUGAUUGUUAGCAUUGUUAAUCUUUUGCUGUGCCUCAUUUAUAAAUGUCACCCAUGUGUGUACAUGUGUGUGUAUGUGUGUGUGUACGUGUGUGUGUGUCUCUGUGUGUGUGUCUCCAUGUGUGUGUAUGUGUGUAUGUAUGUGUGUGUAUGUAUGUAUGUAUGUAUGUAUGUGUGUGUAUGUGUGUGUAUGUAUGUGUGUGUCUCCGUGUGUGUGUAUGUGUGUCUCCAUGUGUGUGUAUGUGUGUAUGUAUGUAUGUAUGUGUGUAUGUGUGUAUGUGUGUAUGUAUGUGUGUGUCUCCAUGUGUAUGUGUGUAUGUGUGUCUCCAUGUGUGUGUAUGUGUGUAUGUAUGUGUGUAUGUAUGUAUGUAUGUGUGUAUGUGUGUGUGUAUGUGUGUGUCUCCAUGUGUAUGUGUGUAUGUGUGUGUCUCCAUGUGUGUAUGUGUGUAUGUAUGUGUGUAUGUAUGUAUGUAUGUGUGUAUGUGUGUGUAUGUAUGUGUGUAUCUCUGUGUAUGUGUGUAUGUGUGUGUGUAUGUGUGUGUCUCCAUGUGUGUAUGUGUGUGUAUGUAUGUAUGUAUGUGUGUAUGUGUGUGUAUGUAUGUGUGUGUCUCCGUGUGUGUGUGUGUGUGUGUGUGUGUGUAGGAAAACGUAACACGUUAUUGUUCUGGCAUCUAAUGAGGAUCUUGGUGCAUUUUCCUCAUGGGUAAGGCAUGUCCACUGUGUCUUCUCCCAGCGUGUGCCUGGCUGCUUUUUUUUUUUUUUUUUUAUCAUGUGAACAGUGUCCUCUAUCAAAUGCAGAACCUGUAAGCAGUGGAGUGUGGUUAGAGAAAGUUAGGUCGCCGGAGUUUGAUCCUCAGUGGGAAUACUGGGUCGCCUACACCUUCUUCUUCGACUUCACUUCCCACAUGCUACGGAGUGGUGAGUUCCCACUGUCCUGUGCCCCUACCAGGAUAUACUGCCUGCUAGAAGCCUAGAGGCAUCAGGUUGAGCCUCCAUGGCUUCAGACUUCUAAAACCAUAUGCUCAGCUAAACGUUUCCUCUUUUUCAAAUUGAUACCCUCAUUUGAAUAACCAAUAUUUUCUACAGUGUCAUUUUGAACACACAGUCCUCUUUGGGGAGGUUGUGGAAUCCUAAGGAGACAGAGCCUAGCUGGAUGCAGCGAGCCAGUGGGGGCUCUCGGGGAUUGUCUCCCACCUGCCCCCAUGUGAAAAGCUCCCCCACCAAAUGUUCCCGCCAUCUUUCCCAGGCAAUGUGGGGCCAAGUAGCCAUGGAUCAUACCCUCUAAAACCAUCUCUCCUGCUUAAGAUGCUCUGUCAGGUAUGUGAUCACGCUGAUGAAAAAGGCAUCUUGAGGUUUUUAUUUUUUCUAAAGUGGCACCAGGAUGGGGGUCACCGCUAUGCUGGAACCUGACAGUGUGGUUGCUUGGCCUUUGGAAGUGAUUUAUGGGAUCGAUUUGAAAACAUUUGGAGCGCAAACUGGAGAAGUUCUAGAAUGCUGCGUGCUGAGCUUAGUGGGUGAGAGUUCAGGACAGGAGAACAUUGGGAAUACAGACCAUCAAUAACCGUGCAGCUCAGAUGGGAGCAAGGAGUCUCCUAGGAAUCCUUGUUUACCCAAGGAUACUGAAAAAGACUCAUAUCUCCUUACAAGUAUUAUUUACAACAGUCCCAAGCUGGGAACAGCCCAGUGACCACCCAAUGACAAAUAGACAGACAGAUUGUGACGUUCCUAUACUGUGAAAUAGCGGUUGAUAAAAGAAAUAUUCCUGCGCACAACGAAAUGGCUGGGUCUCAAAAAACCACUAAGUGAAACACCCACUCAUUGUAUGACUUCAUUCGUGUGAAGUUCUGUGAAGAGCAGAUUAUAGCAGACCAGCGGGGGCGUGGUCAAAGGCCAGUGGACCGCCUCGAUGCGGAGAACACACUGAGGGAACUUUAAGGGGACAUUAGAAAGGUUGACUGUUCAUUUGUAGAUUAAUUGUGGUUAUGGUUACAUAACCCCACACAAGUACUGAAGUUAAUCAAACUGUGUCCCGAAAGCCAGCAAAUGUUAUUGCCUAUGAUUUAUACCUCAAUAAAUCUAAGUAAGAAUAAAUUUCAAACGUAAAAUAAAGCAAAAAAAAACAAAGAUUCCAUGCGCCGGUGGGCGGAGUACUUGGGAGUGUCACACGCUGUUUGUUGAAGUGUAAAAUUGGGCAGCCCCUCUGGGGAAGGGGCUGGCUGUUUCCUUCAGAGUAAAACACACACACUUGCCAGAUUCCAUUCCCGAGUAUUUACUCAAGAGAAAUGGAAACAUAUGUUCACCAAGAGACUUUUUACGUGAAUAUUAAUAGCAGCUUCAUUCACCAGAGUCUCAAACUCGGAGUGACCCGAGUUCCUUCAGUCAGUGAAUGGGCAGAUUGUGGCGCAGUUGCACAGUGAAAUACUACUCGGGGGAAAAACAGCCCUCGAGAAAAAUAACCAACAAAACACCCACACACCAAUGGUGAACACGGCCUCGAGGGCAUGUCCCACUGCACCUGAAUGGAAGGAGGGUGCUCUCCUGGGACUCUACCGAACGGACAGAACCGUUGUCUAGGGCGAAGGAUUUGCCUGUGGGGUGGCUCAGGGCAACUCGUGGAAACAGAAUGUCCCUGCUCUUGUCUGUCCGGGUCUGUCAAGAUUCAUCAAACGCUGAUGUCAGAGCUGGAGAAGUUUUUUUAAAAAGUACUUUAUGUUUAUGUGUUCUCGUUCUCUCUCUCUCUCUCUCUCUCUCUCUCUCUCUCUCUCUCUCCCUCCCUCCCCCUCCCUCCCUUUCUCCCUCUGUCUCUGUCUCUGUCUCUGUCUCUCUCUCUCUCUCUCUCUCUCUCUCUCUCUCUCUCUCUCUCUCUCUCUGUGUGUGUGUGUGUGUGUGUGUUUGUGCAUGUGGUGCAUGUGUCUGAUUCCCACAGAGGCCAGAAGAGAGAGUGGAGCUCAUGGGAUUGGAGUUACACGUGGUGGCUGGCAAUCAAAACCCGGUCCUCUGGAAGAGCAGCCAGUGCUCUUAACCUCUGAGCUUUGUGUCCAGCCCCGAAGUCUCUCUUUUUAAGAGCGAAAGAUAGCAGCAUUCUCGAGGGCUUUUACGGCUCCUUCCACUUUAACACGAACUUUGCACCGUGCCAUCGAUUUUUUUCUCCACGUAUUGAACAGCAACUGCAAGACAGAAGAUUGGAAAAGCAAGAGCAUCGUCGAUUGUCCUUCAAUCUUCUGGAAAUAAGACCAGGGCUUGGGGUUUACAUCUAAGACCAGUGGGCUCCUUGCUUAUCCAUCUGUUGAUUGCCCCUGCAGGAAACCUGAAGCCUACUUAGAUAAUAUCCAUGGAAGUUAAAAAUAAAAAUAAAAUCCCUGUUAUCUU